This is a long non-coding RNA of Macaca mulatta (Rhesus monkey), 4677 nucleotides long. The record is from Ensembl. Lineage: Eukaryota; Metazoa; Chordata; Mammalia; Primates; Cercopithecidae.
CCUCUCCUUUCAUGCCUCUUGCUCCAUCCAAUGCUGUGGACAAACCACACAGUUUCAUAAACCCCAUUGCUCCUCUUUCUUGUCCUUGUCUCUGCACAGGUUAUGCCCUCUACUUGGUGUGUGUCUACUUACUCUUUGGGAGUUCCAGAGACUUUGCUUCUAGGCCCCAAGGAGAGAUGUAUCUAUUUCUCUUACCAAUAGAUUCCUUGGGGAUGGUGCCUGACACACAGUUCUGUUUCUCUGAAGAACCCUAACUAAUACAACUUCUAAGUCCAGUAUUCCUGCCAUUAAGAAAAAGAGAUUUCAAGCAUUAAAACUGAGGAAGCUAUGCAACUUUAUAAGGUAUGUGAAUCAGCAUAAUGUAGUGGAAAGAGCCGUGGCCCAGAUAUCAGGAAUUUAAAUCCUAGUCCUCAGACUAAGGCAACCAGUGUGGCCUUCAAUAGAAACAUUCUUCUGUGGUCAACUUCCUUUUCAUCAUCUCUCACAAGGGAAUUGUGCUCCAGUUCAUUCUGGCUCACUCGUCUUGGAAUUUAUGUGUCAUCAGCUAGAAGUUUCAUGACCCAGUGAAGCUGGCAUCAUGGCAGCACAAACAAAGAAAAAUGAGAAACUGGAGGAGAUGGUUCAUUUUAGGGCCAAGGGUGAUGAGUUCAGGUUUGCACAUUAGGAAAAAGCUAAAGGGCGUGGUAGACAGAAUCAUGGCCCCUUAAAGAUGACCACAACUGAAUCCCCCAAAUCUGUGACUAUGUCGCCUUAUGUGGCAAAAGAAACUUUGUAGAUGUGGUUGAUUUAAGGAUUUUGAGGUGGGGAGAUUAUUCUAAAUUAUAUGGGUGGGUCCUAAAAAAAAUAGAAAGGCAAGUCAGAGUUAGAAAAGGAGAUGCAGAGGCAGAAGCGGAGGUUGGAGUGAAGCGAUGUCCCUCUUUGAAGACGGAAGUGGGGCAGGCUAUAAAACCUAGAAAAGACAGGAAAAUGGAUUUCUCUCCUAGAGUCUCCAGAAGGAACAUAGCUUUGCUGACACUUUAUUUUAUUUUAUUUUAUUUUAUUUUUAUUUUUUGAGACAUCUCACUCUGUCACCCAGGCUGGAGUGUAGUGGUGUGAUCAUUCCUCACUACAGCCUUGAACUCCUGGGCUCAAGAGAUCCUCCCACCUCAGCCUCCCUACUAGAAGGGACUACAGGCAUGUGACACCAUGCCCAGAUAAUUUCUUUAGUUUUUGUAGACACGGGGUCUUGCUGUAUUGCCAGGGUUGGUCUCCAACUUCUGGGUUCACGUGAUCCUUCUGCCUCAGCCUCCCAAAGUGCUGGGAAUAUGGGCGUGAGCCACUGUGCCCAGCCAACACCUUGAUUUUAGCUCCGUAAGACUCCUCUUGGAGUUCUGGUUCUCCAAGACUGUCAGAUGAACUUGUAAUGUUCUGAGCCACCACGUUUUUGGUAAUUCGUUGCAGUAGCCAUAGAAAGCAAAUAGCAGAAGUCACUAGGGAGGGAGGAUGAAUAUUUUUUGAGCCCUUCAUGUGCAUCAGGCAUUGAAGUCCCAAUAAACUGGUGGGGGAAACAGUGUGCUCAUCAUUUCAUGUAUUAGGAAAAUAAACCUAAGAGCGGAAGUAACUUGACCAAAGUGACACAGUCAGGAAUUGAGACUGGGGGCUGUGUGCGUGCUUACGCAUCAUGCAUAUGCUGUGCUGAAAGGCAAAAGCCCGCAAGAUGCCUACACAGCGACAUAAUCACACGAUGCUGGAAAAUCAGGAAAAAAUGUGUAUUGUACAAAUCAAUGGACCAGGGAGUUGGCAAUGUGGAAGACCUUCAAGUGAAUGGCCAGGACCAACUAUGUAUCAGUAGCAGGUGCUUUUUACACAUGCUAUUUCAUGAAACACAAAACACCCUGCAAGGUAAAUUUUAUUCUCCUUAUUUUUAUGGUUGACAAAGGGAGGCUUCAGUUUAGAAAGUACCUUGCCCCAAGUACUACAGCUAGUUAAUGCCAGAGCUAAGAUUUAAAUAUAGAGCCUGCCUCCUGUGAUUAAGAAAAACAAAACAUUUUUUAUUUUAAAAAAGGAAGACCCAGAGAAGGGCAUAAUUUAACCAUCACUUGGAAGUAUAUGACCCCACCACACAGAGGAUCAAAGUUAGCUUCGUGGCAUGAAUAUUUACAUAAUUAUUUGUUCUCCAGGUGUUUAGCACAGUCCUGGGUGUAUUAUAGGCACCUAGUGUAUACUUGUGUAGUGAAAUCUGACAGUGGGAUAGAGGGGCUUCUGUGUAAGGUUAACUAAAAAGGCUAAAACCCUUAAAGUCGAGAUGAUGAAGGCUGAGCUCUGACGGGGCUCAAAUAUAACAAAGUCCAUUCUCCCUUUGAAGCAUUUCAGCAGGAUGAAUUAAUCACCAGUCUCCUUCCUUUCUCCCCUUCCUGACUGCCCAAAGCACAUACCCUACACCAAGCCCUUGGGCCCUUAGCACUUUACUUCACCCUGCUGUUUUGACUGUAGGGUCUCCCACUGCCUCCAGCAUCAAGCCUAACUUUCUAGGGCUCCGUAGCCUUCUCCCUACCUGCAUCUUCCCUCUCUAGCCUCACCCCUUGUCUGUGCAAACCCUUGUCUCUGGUCAGCCCGAUGCCCUGAUAGGAGACCAUGGAAUCCUUGUCUCACAUCUACCCCUCCUCUUACCUACAUCUCUCUCCAGAGCUCCGGCAUUUUGGUGAACUCAUCUUGCACCCCAUAAUGCCUUCUUUAACUCUUUCUGCUCCUCUCCCUAAUUAUUUUGUUACUAUUGCUGGUGCCACUCCAUUUGCACUUAGAAUAAAAUAAAAACUCCUUAGCACAAUUGGAAUGCCUCUUUCUUCCAUCUCAGUCUCCCUUGGAUCCCCUCUCCUUUUUGCCUAUGAUGUCACAUACUGGCCUCAGGUCCAGGAGCUCACAGCUCAGGCCCUGACAUGGGUAUCUUUCUGCAUUUGGACCCUGCCAUCGCCAAAAAUAGUCCCUCCUGUUUCAAUUACAACUUAAAUGUCACUUUAGAGUUGGCUUCCUGAUUCCUCAUGUUUCAGUAGAUCCCAUUUUGUUUAAACCUCUUAGUUUUUAAAAAAUCUUUUAUAAAUGCUGUCUUGUUUUCAUCUUUAUAAUUAUUCAUUUGUAUGUUUGGUUGAUCACUAUCUACCAUUUCCCCUAGAGUCAGCUCCAUAAACAAUGUGUUUUGUUUUCAGUGCCUAGCAUGGUGCCUGACAUGUAGUAGGUGCUUAUAUAUUUGUUCACAAAUGAAUAUCUUAUGUUAAACUCUCUAGUCACUAAUUGUUCUGUAAAUUUGAGCAUCACUUCAUGACUUAUUUAUAAUGCUGUUUUGUUGACUCAUGUUGGUGGGUGUCUAUUUCCUGUCUUCAAUAGGACUGUACAUUGCAGAAAUGAUCUCUUAUAUUUCUUUGCACCAAACGAAGCUAGAUGCAAAGAAUGAAUGAAGUUAGACUUAAUUUGGUGUCUGUCACAUUCUGAAAUACUAUAACCAGGAUAAGUGUCUAAACUUGAAGGAGACACCACAGUGGGGUUUCAUGUUACUUUGGGUCCUGGUAGUAUUGGUUGGGAUCUAAGGUCUGCACUGAGCCUAAGAACUGUGUAUACCUCAAAUUUUCUUUGCAUUGGAGACAUAUCACUUGGCCAAAAGACCAAAUGAGCCAGCAUCAGAUACAAUCUUGUAUCUUUGGUUGAGGACCAGAGAAAAGAUUUGGCUUGAAAUGGGAGGGCAUGUGGGAGGACAAACACAAAUCUUUAAGUCCUAGAAUCCCACUUUGCCUGGGAAGACAAUCAUAUUAGAAACUAAGGAACAGAGGUCUACAGUGUUCUAUUUCCCAUUUCACACUCAACCUGGGGAUAUGUGCUCUAUGCUCAUUCUCGGAAGUAGCCUGUAUGAUUUGAUUUGUUAUUGAUCCUCAUUUCCUUCCUUCCUUCCUUCUUUCCUUCCUUCCUUCCUUCUUUCCUUCCUUCCUUCCUCUCUUUCUUUCGUUCUUUCUCUUUCCCUUCCUUCCUUCCUUCUUUCCUUCUUUCUCUUUCUUUCUCUCUCUCUCUCUUUUUUUUUUUUUUUUUUUGAGACAAGGUUUCACUCUGUUGUCCAGGCUGGAGUGCAGUGGCACAAUCACAGCUCACUGAAGCCUCAACCUCCUGGGCUCAAGUGAUCCUCCCACCUCAGCCCUCCAAGUAGCUGGGACUAUGGGUGCACACCACCAUGCCAGGCUAAUUUUUAAAUUUGUUUUUGCAAAGACAGGGUCUUGCUAUGUUGCCCGGGCUAGUUUCCAGCUCCUGGGUUCAAGAGAUCCUCCCGCCUUGGCCUCCCAAAGUGUUGGGAUUACAGGCAUGAGCCACUGCACCCGGCUAUCCUUAUUUUCUUUUGGUUGGGCAUGAUUAGUUGACUUCACAUACGGUAAGUGUAUGUAUGAUAAAGUUACACUGUACUCUGCUCUUUGGGGAGUUAAUACCUGAAGCUUGUUAUCCUUACUUAGACAAUACAGUGGAUAAAAAUAUAAAGAAGGUCAAGAAGGGUUUAAAUCAAUUCAUGGAUGUCAGAGUUAUAACUAGUUCUUAAGAGACAAAAAAAUUUACAAAAUACUCAGUGAUGUUACUGUUAGAGAAUACAGAUGUUCUUACCCCCCCAUUCCUACUAAUCUCUGUGACACUACAUAUGUGUGCACAUUCCCUAUGACCUCCCCAAAC